CUUCCUUUUUUUUUGGCAAUCCGCUAGGCAAGCGCCUAGGGCUAGUUUUUAUAUUAAUAAAUACACAAAAAUAAUUACAUUAUCUGGGGUCUAACGAAAUGAGAGAAAUAAAAUUUGACAGUUACAUUCAUCCUAUUACCAAAGUUAAGUAGUAUACUCAAAUUUGGUAUCACAAAAUGCAUACUAUACUUAAAAUCUGAUGCCAAUCCUUGUAAUUGUACACACUAAUUCCAUACUUUGUCUACCAUUCACUUGCAAUGUCACAUUUCCUUCCUCAAGAGAAUGAGCACAAUGUGCUAAUACCACCCAUAGAGGUCUUAUUGAGUGGCAAUGCAAUAAUACAUGGAUACGUCCCAUUGCUUUGUUCCAUAACACAAAAAAUGCCAUGAAGAUUCCAGUUGUAUGGGUUGGUCUUGAAGCUUACAGUUCAUUAUGGUAGUCAAAUUAUCUUUCUUUUUCAACAUAGUUGUUGAACAUUUACUGACAAAAGCUGCUACGCUUGUCAAAACUUCAAACUCUUGAAGCAUUACACUUGUUGUUUUGAUUUCAGUUGCUCAGAUUCCGACAUAACUCGUAUAGAACUUUAAUCACCUAAUAAUGCUUGCUUUGAAUUCCAACAGCUCUAUGGUGCAGACAUCAACUACAGAGGGCUCAACCGCAUAAGAAGAUCCUCACUGCUAAGAAGGUCUAGUUCUAGAUGAUUUUACUUGUUUGGAUUAUGUGUAAACUUUUGUCAGGGAGACUCAAGUAGCGCAUCCAGUUCUAUGGCACAUCUUCGCUUGAGGGGAGGCCAUCUUUUGAACUUUUUCUUGCUCUGUAGAAUACCGUCAUCGCCAAUUAACAUUUGCUCUACCUG
RNAcentral lists this long non-coding RNA (856 nucleotides) under Nicotiana benthamiana. Its description in RNAcentral is "long non-coding RNA (NBEN_LNC014716)". The record is from RNAcentral. Lineage: Eukaryota; Viridiplantae; Streptophyta; Magnoliopsida; Solanales; Solanaceae.